GCCAGGUGUGGUGGCGGGCACCUGUAAUCCCAGCUCCUCAGGAGGCUGAGGCAGGAGAAUUGCUUGAACCCGGGAGGUGGAGGCUGCAGUGAGCUCAGAUUGUGCCACUGCACUCCAGCCUGGGCGACAGAGCAAGACCCUGUCUCAA
This is an unclassified non-coding RNA of Pongo abelii (Sumatran orangutan), 148 nucleotides long. It matches the Rfam family "Metazoan signal recognition particle RNA". Rfam says of the family: The signal recognition particle (SRP) is a universally conserved ribonucleoprotein. It is involved in the co-translational targeting of proteins to membranes. Lineage: Eukaryota; Metazoa; Chordata; Mammalia; Primates; Hominidae. The record is from Ensembl.